RNAcentral lists this long non-coding RNA (371 nucleotides) under Nicotiana benthamiana. Its description in RNAcentral is "long non-coding RNA (NBEN_LNC040319)". Lineage: Eukaryota; Viridiplantae; Streptophyta; Magnoliopsida; Solanales; Solanaceae. The record is from RNAcentral.
CGUCUACUAUCCGAGUCCGACCUUCCUCGAGUCGACCAUAAUUAAGCUGCUUUCAUCACCGAGGACGUAUGUAGAUAGUGUAGGGAUGUAAGGAACCAAAUUUUUCCAAUACAGAUAGUCCCUCUGUUUAUUGGAGACAUAAUCGGGAGGCGUCUUCAAUGGACGAACAUACAUGCUUGACACUUCUGGAAAUUUGGCCAGUCCUGUUGAUACCCCUAUAAAAGACGUGCCCAUAUGUGAAGAGGUCAAUCCGUUGACAUAUUACCUCCCUUUUGGGGUUCUUUUUUAAGAUGACGUCAUCGAUCACGUGCUUGAUCAUUACUUUUGCUCCCGAGACGAUUCAUAUUAUGACAUGACGUUUAGGUUUCCUG